RNAcentral lists this ribosomal RNA (328 nucleotides) under uncultured eukaryote. RNAcentral describes it as "partial 18S ribosomal RNA". It matches the Rfam family "Eukaryotic small subunit ribosomal RNA", at positions 1470 to 1796 of the family's 1831-position model. The record is from RNAcentral.
CCCUUAGAUGUUCUGGGCCGCACGCGCGCUACACUGUCGGAUUCAGCGAGUCUUAACCUUAACCGAAAGGUUUGGGUAAUCUUUUGAAAGUCCGACGUGAUGGGGAUUGAUCAUUGCAAUUAUUGAUCAUGAACGAGGAAUUCCUAGUAAGCGCGAGUCAUCAGCUCGCGUUGAUUACGUCCCUGCCCUUUGUACACACCGCCCGUCGCUACUACCGAUUGAAUGAUCCGAUGAAUAUCAUGGAUUGAGGAUGCAAGCAGGUUCGCCUGUCUUCAUCUUCGAGAAGUGAAGUAAAUCUUAUCAUUUAGAGGAAGGAGAAGUCGUAACA